GAUGAACGCUGGCGGCGUGCCUAAUACAUGCAAGUCGAGCGAACAGACGAGGAGCUUGCUUCUCUUACGUUAGCGGCGGACGGGUGAGUAACACGUGGAUAACCUACCUAUAAGACUGGGAUAACUUCGGGAAACCGGAGCUAAUACCGGAUAAUAUAUUGAACCGCAUGGUUCAAUAGUGAAAGACGGUUUUGCUGUCACUUAUAGAUGGAUCCGCGCCGCAUUAGCUAGUUGGUAAGGUAACGGCUUACCAAGGCAACGAUGCGUAGCCGACCUGAGAGGGUGAUCGGCCACACUGGAACUGAGACACGGUCCAGACUCCUACGGGAGGCAGCAGUAGGGAAUAUUCCGCAAUGGGCGAAAGCUUGACGGAGCAACGCCGCGUGAGUGAUGAAGGUCUUCGGAUCGUAAAACUCUGUUAUUAGGGAAGAACAAAUGUGUAAGUAACUAUGCACGUCUUGACGGUACCUAAUCAGAAAGCCACGGCUAACUACGUG
Molecule: ribosomal RNA, 497 nt
Filed under: uncultured bacterium
Lineage: Bacteria
Description: partial 16S ribosomal RNA
Rfam family: Bacterial small subunit ribosomal RNA
Source: RNAcentral